GAGAAUCUGUGACCUUUUUCAUGCGCGUGGUCCGCAGUCGCUCCACCACCACCACCUAUAAAUAGGCAGCUCCUCCGCAGAGAAUGAAAAUAUAGCAAUCAAAACUUAAUCCAUACACAUAUAUACCUCCGAGUUUCGUCUUCAACCUCAGCAUCAUCAUGUCUGACAAGUGCGGAAGCUGCGACUGCGCUGACAAAUCCCAGUGCGGGUAAUAAUCCUUUUUCUUUUUCUUCAACAUCAUUUUGAUCUUGUUUAGAAGAAAAAGAAUCUUAUGUAUCUGUCUGGAAUAGGUUGUGAGUUUGACUGCUUAUGUUAUGUUAUGUUGCAGGAAGAACGGCUACACAGCCGACAUCAUUGAGACCGACAAGAGGUAUAUACAUAGUUGAUCAACACAUAAACAAAAACAUAUUGAAUUAAAUGGAAUAUAUAUUUUGCAGCAACAGCAACAGCAUGGUGAUGGAUGCUCCGGCUGCCGCUGAGAACGACGGCAAAUGCAAGUGCGGCAGCAGCUGCAGCUGCACCGACUGCACNCCUAAAAAAAAACGAAAAGAAAAAAACUAAGGGCCGAGCCUUAAAACCUAAAAAAAACGAAAAGAAGGAGGAGAGAGAAGGAGGGGUAAGUUUUCGGAACUCCGGCCUAACCAUCGUCCCAAAACCAACCCGGCUUUCAGCCCGCAAAAAAGACAGAACAGGGGUAAGUUUCAUUAAUAAUUAAUGACUUAAUUCAAAAAAGAAAACCAUUUUUUCUCACAAGUUUCAUACUAACUAAUACAAAACAAGUUAAAAUUCUUGAACCUUAUAUACUAAAAUAGUACUUCAUAUAAUCUAUAGAAGAAGUCCACUUCAAAUCUCAAAGAUUCAAUUCAAAGGUAACAUACAAGUAUUUGAGAGUGUGCUCAUUUUAUAGGCACGAGUAAUACUCCCUACGUCCCUGAAAUAAGUUCAUCUUUUUCCAUUUUGGGACGUCCCCCAAAUAAGUUUCUCUUUCUUUCUUUCGAUUUUUGGACAACUACCUCACCACUAAUAAUACUUUAUUCAUUCUUACUUUUCACUUUUUCACCACUCCCAAUACUAGUAUAACAUUUUUUCACAUUUUCACCACUCCCAAUACUAAUUAUAACAUAUUUUUUUCCACUAUCAAUACACUUUACCAUUUUCCUUAAAACUCGUGCCGUCCCCAAAGAGGAACUUAUUUUGGGGACGGAGGGAGUAUAUUUUAUAAUUAAUGAUAUUAUUAAAAUAUUCAUUAGUCUUACUAGUUUCGAUGUCAUUUAUCAAAAUAUAAUGAUUUCACUGUCAGAAUUUCGCUCAUACAUAAUACUUCCUUCGUUCGCCAAAAGUGGAUCACUUUGAUUGGACACGAGAUUUAAUAAAAUUGGUGAUAAUUUUGAUGUAGUGGAGAAAGGAUCCCACCACAUUAUGAGAUGUGUGGUUGAGAUUGAAUUUGAGUUGAUUUUUUUGUAAAUAAAGAGUGUUUGUAAGGAUAAAAGAUUAAAGUAGAUGAUGAGACCAUUUCUAUAAAAGGAACGUGGUAUACUCUUUGCGGACACCCGAUAUAGUAAAAGUGAUCCACUUUUGACGGACGGGGGGAGUAGAAUUUUACGGUAUCUAUGCCCCAAAAAAUCAUAUACCAUACACUCAUACGUAACACUAAUAUCGUUAUCUAAAGUAUUAUACAUAACAACUGUAAAGCUGUUAUCUAUAGUUCUUAUAAAUAAUAGUUGUGUCCGUUAUCAUAGAAAUAUACCGAAUCGUUAUGCAUGUAUUUUAAUUUUUUUUAUAUUUUAUUAUAUUUGACAAAUAUUUUUUCAAUACAUAACUAUCGUCGAUCUUUACCGUUAUGUAAAACGAGACUAUCAUAAAUCUAUUUUUCCUCUCAAAUUUUUUUUUUUUUUUUUUUUUUUCAUCGAGUAAAGGAAGAAGAAUUGGGAUCGAACCUGAUCUCUCUCCUUUGCAUACAAAAUAAUCCAUAAAUUGUGAUGUCAUUGAAAUUAUUAUACACAUUAUAAGUAAAAUGAAUUGAAACAUAUCCACCGAAACUGGCGCAUGUAUAUAUAUUCCAAUAACAAAAGUAAAACACAAUAUACUAACUCGUUUACAAGUAAAGGCAAGUAAUAUCAUGUUGAAAUUUCCGAAAAUGAAAAACGGAAAAGACGAGACGAUAAAGGAGAAUCUGUGACCUUUUCCAUGCGCGUGGUCCGCAGUCGCUCCACCACCACCACCUAUAAAUAGGCAGCUCCUCCGCAGAGAAUGAAAAUAUAGCAAUCAAAACUUAAUCCAUACACACAUAUAUCUUAACUUCGUCUUCAACCUCAGCAUCAUCAUGUCUGACAAGUGCGGAAGCUGCGACUGCGCUGACAAAUCCCAGUGCGGGUAAUAAUCCUUUUCUUUUUCUUCAACAUCAUUUUGAUCUUGUUUAGAAGAAAAAGAAUCUUAUGUAUCUGUCUGAAAUAGGUUGUGAGUUUGAUUGCUUAUGUUAUGUUAUGCAUGUUGCAGGAAGAACGGCUACACAGCCGACAUCAUUGAGACCGACAAGAGGUAUAUACAUAGUUGAUCAACACAUAAACAAAAACAUAUUGAAUUAAAUGGAAUAUAUAUUUUGCANCAGCAGCAACAGCAACAGCAUGGUGAUGGAUGCUCCGGCUGCCGCUGAGAACGACGGCAAAUGCAAGUGCGGCAGCAGCUGCAGCUGCACCGACUGCACCUGCGCCCACUGAGAUGGAUAUAUAGCAGAAAAGGGACUGGGGCUGCUGCCCAUAUCUUAAUCUUAUCAUGUAAUCUAAUCUUUCAAUAACUUAGUUCCCACAUGUCCUAAACUAUUACCCUCCCUUUCCCUUUUUUAAUGAAUUCAUAUUAUAUAUAUAUGCUCUCUCUCUCUCUCUCUUAAUCACGAGAACAUGCACUCAAUAAGAAUGAAAAUUAUCCUUUAAUUUCUUCAUAAAAGAAAUUCAUCAACUUGAUAGCACAGAUUUCUUGUUGAUUCCCUCGCAAUGCAUUGCGCGGGAGGUAUCCAUUACAAGAUACGGCAAAAAGAUGUAAAGUACUCUGUUUGGCUAAGCUUAUUUAAAGAGCUUAUAAUCUCCAACCGCUUACAAGAUGUUUCAAGAGCUUAUAAGUUGUAGUUUCUUAAGAGCUUAUAAGCUCAGCCAAACACCCUCUUAAUAAACAAAGAAUUCCAACGACCACAGUUGAGCCAUUUUCAUGAUCAGCUUAAAAUUAAUUAUGAAGAAUUCGCUCAAUUAUGUUAAAAGGGAAAAAUGGAUCUUAAUUAAGUUACAUUAUAUAUCAAUUUAUUACUUUCGCAUUUCAUCUUUAAAACAGGAAAAGCGGGGAAGGGAAAAAUAAUAACGAAAACAGGAAAGAAUAGACAGAAGAAAUCGAUCGGGAUGCGCUUUAUAACUUUAAUUUAAUUACUUUAGUUUUGUAAUGGACAUGAAAUCACGUUUCAACCAAUAGAUACUUAUAAUCAGAAAUAUAAGUAUGAAAUUCGUCGCAUAAUCUAUAAGUUAAUUAAGCCAUUUUUUGUUCACUUCAAAUCCAAAUAUUUACCUCAAUUAAUUUAAAGUUAACGUGUUACAUGAUAGGAGAAACAAGAGAGAAGUAGCAAAUAGCCCCCUAUCAUACAAUCCCCUAACACGUUUACCUUCCUAUCUUUUGAUUAUGGGCUGUUAGCCUCUCAACAUAUCAUAAAGAGUGCAAAAUGUCCCAUGCUCUUAACGGACACUUAACACCGUUAAGUAUUUUUCAUUUUUUUUUAAUUUCUUACUAAUAUUUCUUACUAUAAGCAUAUAAAUAUUUUUUGAAUUUAAAUUUAAAUGUUUGUAAUAUUUUUUUUAAAUAAAAUCAUUUUUGAAUACACACACACUUUCACUGCGUUCUUGUAACAAUUAAAGUUAGAUUAGAUUUAAUAUACAUACAUAUUAUAAACAAAAAAAAUAAAUCGUACCAAUUAAUAUAGAGUAUAUAAAAAUAAAACAUAACAAAGAUAACCUUGUAUUAAUUAAAAACUAAAUUCUUAAUUAAGAAAUUAAUAUAUAUAUAUAUAUAUAUAUAUAUAUAGGUAAAUUUAAAUUUAUGUUCAUGUAGUGAGAUGUUAUCCAUUAUCUAAUAAGAAAACCUAGCUAGUUAGUGAAAAGGAGAAUUCAUAUUGUGCUUAUGUAAUAGGAAGAUAUUGAACUUCUUUGUUUUUUGGGGGGCUCAAUACUAGAUCAUUUAUCUGUAUUUUAGGAAGAAAGAACUUUUUUUUUGUGCUUCAAUGUUUGAUAUAAUCCUGAAAAAUAUUAUCUCAAACUUUGUAAAAGCAGACAAAUUUUCGUGCCUUGAUUUUUAUCAUGAUUAGAAAAGGUGAGAAUUCAAUAGUUUUUGUUAUAUGUAUUUUAUUUUAUUUUGGAUAUGAGAUCACAGGAAUUUGUGGUUAGUGUGCUAGGUUUACCAUUCUCAGCAAUUUUAUGCAUAUUUUAAUCUUUGCGUACUCGUCGAUUAUUCUCUAAAUAUGUGAAUUUAUAUUUAAUGGUAGUUGUUAAUUAUUAAUUAAGGUCGAAGUUUGCGUAGAAUUAUUUGUAGGAGUGUAUUUUGCUUAAGAAAUAUAUUAGUGGGAUCCAUUUAGAAAAUAAAAAAAUGAAAAUACUUAACGGUGUUAAGUGUUCGUUAAGAGCAAAGGGCAUUUUGGACUCUUUAUGAAAUGUUGAGGGGCUAACAGCCCAAAAUCAAAAGAUAGGGAAGUAAACGUGUUAGGUGGUUGUAUGAUAGGGGGCUAUUUUCUACUUUUCCCAAUUAUUUUUAAUCAUUUAUUUUUACUUUUAUUAGUUAAAAGUUCAUUAUUAGAUUAAUAAAUUCAAAUAUUUAGGGUAUAUAGUUUAGAAAAUAAAAAUUAAGUAUAAUGUAUAAUAUUAUAAUAAAUUUAUUUAUAAAAAAAAUAUUACUAAAAUAUCAAUCCACAAAAAAAUUCUAGAAGGGAUGACACGAGUUUUAAUGAAAAUGAUUUAGUUAUGUAGUGGAGAAACGAUCACAUUUAAAUAUAGUGUUAAUAAUGAUAAUUAAUUGUAUUGUUAAUGGAGAAAAUGGCUCACCAUGUGAUAGAAAAUUUUCAAAAGUAAAAAUAAACUAAUUUUUGUGGACGUUCCAGAAUAACAAUAAAAGACAUUUUUUUUUUGAAGGAAUGAAGUAAUAGUGGUAUAACAAUGAAACAUAAUGACAUACACAAAUUAUGGAACAUUUAAUCUUCAACUCAUCUAUGUGAAUUUGUUAAUGCAAGAACAUAAUUGAUCCUCUUGCUUUACUAGUUCCACAUCAUUUUUCUUUAUCAAGUUGGUAGUUUUGUUGCUAUUACACAUUGGACUAACAUAAAUAAUAAUGCAAGUUGGGACAAAAGCAAGUAGCAAGUACAUUCAUAAACAAUACUACUAAUAUUUAGUGAUGUCAUAAUUGCAAGAGUGUGGUAUUAUUGUGGGAUUUGUGUGACUUUUUAAUAAAGAAAAUCAAGAGCAGGCCAUGAAAGCUACAAUUCUACAACAUCAAUAUUAUCUAACCAUGCAUGUAAUCACAAAAAUUUUGAAUUCUUCAUAAAGAUUAUUCAAUUGUUUUCUUUCGUUUUACAUAUUAAUCAAAUUGAUGGGUCAUUUUCUCAUAACAAACGCUUGAGUUAAAUUUAGAAAUGUUCCAUUUUAUGGUGAUUGUAUUUCUCCCUUUGUCAUCUAAUGAAUUAUGGUGUCCAAGUUCCAACCAACAAGUACCUAUAAAUAUAACUGAAAUUUAUAUAAUACAUAGAAGAGGAGUUUUUUCCCUCCAAUUUUUCCUUCUAUUUUUUCUCUCUCUUCUCCCAUCAAAUUUUUCGCUAUUUUUUUCUCUCUUUUUUAUAUAAUUAUUUUCUAAAUAUCGUCAAAUUUGAUUGAUGAAUAAAUAUUCAAUAUGCUUCUUAAGUUUAAGUUCAUAACAAGAUCUUUAAUAUGGUAUAAAAAAUAUCAAAAAUGAAUUUAAAACGAAUAGGUUAUUAAAAUUUUAAAAUAUUUUAUUUUCUUUCUGUUUGUUUUUACAAUUUUUUUUUAUUUAUAUUUGUGUAUGAAAAUAUUUAUUUAUUUAUUAUUGUGUGGAGUACUCUACAAUAAUGAUGAGGACUAAAUCCUCCAUCAACGCUGUGUUUAACAGUACAUGAAUAUUUCGCCUAAUUAUUAUUAUUAUUAUUAUUAUUAUUAUUAUUAUUAUUAUUAUUAUUAUUAUUAUUAUUAUUAUUAUUAUUAUUAUUAUUAGUUAGGUUAAUUAGCGCAGGUUUAAUUAAAGGCCUCAGAUAGUAAUAAGAAGUCUACCCGCGAAGACAACAAGAAGUCUACUUACGCAGCAGCCGGUGGACAACUUGCGCAGCAACUAGUCAACAACUCGGUCAACAGUCAACGCAGGCGACACAUGAUAAUUCAACUCCGAAAUUAAUACUAUUGUAGUGAGUUUUGGGCCUAAUUGACCAAAUGAGUGGGCCUUCAAAAUUAGGGUUUACUUGUUAACUGUAAAUAGCACAUUUACUGGUAGAUGUGGGGGGGGGUUUGACCUACCACUUGUAACAUAUAAACACUCUCGAAAUAUAGUGAAAAUAUCCGAAGAACCCCGUGAACGUAGAUCUUAUGAUCGAACCAUGUAAAUCUGUAUCUCGUUUAUCAUUUUAUUGGUAGGUAUAGUUUUUUGUUUCAUCAAAUAAUAAUAAUGUGUAUACUAAUUUUCAUUCACUACAAGAAAUAAUAUUAUCAAAUAGUUUAAAAUUAUUUAAUAACUAUAGUUAUCAUUACACUUUAUACAUAGUUAAAAAUUUACAUUUUUAAAAUUCGGGUAGUUUAUUGUAAUAAUUUGGUAUUUUAUUUUUAAAUCUAUAUUUUAUACUAUUUGUUUAUAUUUGGAUUCUAUUUAAUAUUAAUAUUUAUUUAUUUAAAAUAAUCAUUUAAUUUCGAUUUCGUCGUGCGUCGCACGGAUGGUCAUGCUAGUAUUUAAUGGAAGAUGUAUCAAUGAAGACGAAAAAGUAAGAGAUGGAGUAUUUACAUAAUUAAGUUAGUUAUAAUUUAAGCAAUGCUUUUUUGAAUAUGUUUAUUAGAAGAGAAGUUUGAUUAUAGAAAACUGUGAAUAGGCGAAAGUACCCACUUUUAUAACUUGUCUUACAAAAGUACCCACCCAAGCCAAAGUCCAAAAAGUCAAAGCCGACAUGCUUGGUUUUUUGGAAAAGCAGACCUGACAUGCUUCGGUUUUUGUAAAAUGUCUAACUCACGUCAAUUUCACAAGUUAAAAAUGUGAUGAAGAGACAAUAAUUGCCCAACUCACGUCACUUUCACAAUCUAAUGUAUACUGUAUGUUUGAAAAUUUAUAAAAAAAUUAGCUUACGUUUGCGUUAUAAAACAUUAGUAAGAGGACUAAAAUUUCACUAUUAUGUAUAUUAUGCAACAAAAAAAUAUUCAGAAACCAAUGAAACAAUUAGCCGCCGAAAAUUCAUAGCCGUGAACAGUAGCCGGCGGUCCAAAAUAUACACGGCUACUGGUCAGCGNCCCGGUGAAAUCAUGUGUCCGCCCGGGCGGACACAUGAUCUAGCCACCCACCGGUCAUAUGUACUCUUGACUGAUAGCUGUCAAAUCGUUGACAUUUAUGAUUGAUAGCUGUCAAAUCGAUCAACAAAUCGGUCAAAUAUGUAAGACUUUCACAAAAAACCAAGCAAACCAUCAACAUUAAAGGGCAAAAUAGGUACUUCACAUAAUUAGGGCAUAAAAUGCUUAAAUUUAUAAAGUAGGUCAUUUUUCAUAUACAACAUAAGGAAUAGGGCAUUUUUGCCUAUUAAUAUAAAAGAAAAGGUCAUUUUAUUGUGUUAGUACAAGGCACUUCACGUCCAAACCAGCUGCCAAAGAGGGGCCUACCAAGUGCUCGACGAAAACACAAGAAGAAAAAGAAGAAUAAAAGAGAAACUUGCACAACAUAGACACGCACAAAAAAUGUUUAAUAUAUAAAAGGUCAGAAAUAGAAUACACCAAUAACUAAAAAAAAGAGGAUCUUACGCUUCGCCGUCGAUGAUCCAAUGCCCAAAAGAUGAUUUAAGUUGACUUACUUUAGCAAAUAACAUGCUUCAAAUAAAUGAAAAACUACAUAUUUAGUUACCGUUGCCGAAUUUUUGUCAGAUGUGCUCAAUCAGGUUAUUUAUCAAAACAAUGUGAACUUCUCUAUUGCGAAGUUGUGCCCUAUUUGUCAUGCAUAUAACUGGAUAGACUUGCAAUCUAUCUAGUAGAAAAUUCAAAAUUUGGAUCAACAAUUUCUUCUCCAUCUCCACUUUCUUUACUAUUCAGUGUAGGUCGAGCUUCCAUAAACUAUGUGGGAUCGCGAUAAUUUAGGUAAGUGUGUCGUUCAUCUCCCACUAUAAUAUUGUGCAUAAUUAAUUAACCAAUUAUUAUUUUUCCCACAUAUCACGAUCUCAAAUAAGACAUAGUCACUUAAUAAAAGUGAAACAAGCUUGAAGAAUGCUAAAUGCUCGUUCAACAUUUUUCGAGCACCCUCUUGAUGUUGAACAAAUAAUUAGUGCUUCAAAAUUUGUGGACAAUUAAUAGGUUUGACAAAUGCCGCCCAUCAAGGAUAUAUGUCAUCAGUAAGAUAAUAUUUCAUAUUAUAUUCAUGGUCAUUAAUGAUGUAUAACUAACCUUCGAUGCUCGACCUUCCAUGAUAUCAUUAAAAAUAGGAGAUUGUUCAAAUACGUUGAUAUCAUUUUUUGAACAUGGAGUUCCAAAAAAUACAUUUAUGGAAAAUCCAUAAGUCAUGUGAUGCAACUGCAUUCAAAAUGAUUAUCGAUUUUCCUCUUCUUCCUGUAUGUUGUUCCAUACUCCAACACCCUCAUAGCUGCAGUACAUUUCUGAAUUGAAGAUAUACCUAGACGAUCAUCGACAUUACGUUUUUGUUGAAAAAAUUCAUUAGAGGCAACAAUUUUGUUCAUUAUACAUUCGAAUAAUAAUGUUCACAUGAGAAACCUUGCUCGAAAAACUUCAGGAUGAUAGAUUAAUGUGAGAAGUAUUGUUUGAACAGACUUUCGUGCCCCUUCUCACGUUUCUGUUCAAUGAACCGCCUUGUGUGGUUUGUCGAUUAUAAUGAUACUUCAUCUUCGAUCACGAGAUCAAGUUCUUAAUAUGGGUCAACAACGCAUUUUGCCCAUUCAUCAACAUCUUGUUGGUGAUUGAAAUUAGAACUUGAUGCCAUUUUUUUAGGAGUGUGGAAUGAAAUUUUAGUUGAAAAAAGAAAUUCAACAAAUGUAUGUUGAAGGAAAGUCAAUUCUGCCGUGGCGCACCCUCUGCUAUCGCUGCCGUCGCCGCCCCUGCAGCCAGCUGCAUCUACCCCUCCUCUUCCCGCACCCUACAGUGCUCACCGGCGGAGCCUCCGCCGCAUCGCCGCCUAAGAGCUACUCUUCUCUCCCUCUUUGGCUCCGGAUCCAGCCUCGACCACCUAAAUCCGGUGACAGUAGUGGCGAAAGGCCAACCACCGCCUCGAUUCCGAUCAAUUCCAUUCUUGCUCAAUUACACACAAACCCAUCCCUUUGAAACCCCCCUUCAAUCCCAACAGAGCCCUAAUUCUCACUGCGGCAGCGUAGAUCUGGAAGAAGGCGAUGAGGACAGAGUUUUGGAGGAAGGAGGAGGGCAGACGCAAGUUUGGGAGAGGGGGCUACGCAGGUCUGGGGAGAGGGAGGCGCCGAGGUGCGGGAAGGGGGAGGGUCCGACGGAGGUGCGGAUGAGGGAGGUGGCAGCGACAGAUGGUGGGGAAAGGAGAAGGGGCGGCAGAGGGCGGCGAGCGCCGAAUGGGGGAAGAUGGGGAGGGGAAAGAAGACGAUGGGGGGGAAGGUUAUUCCACAUGUCAAAUUAUUUUUCUUUUUUUAUUUUAUUUUAUUCCACAUGUCAAAAAUAUACUUAAGUGUCAAUUCCGGCUGCCACCAUGUCGUUUCUGGCACCGGCGUAAGAAAAAACGAUCACCGGACAAAAACGAGGCAAAAAUGAAAGGUUAUGUAUUUAGAGGCAUAUUUUUUAAAAUAGGAGCAAAAAUCAAUUCUGUGUAAACGUUAUGGAUUUACAUGCAAUUACCCCUUAGAUUUUCAAAUUAUUAAUUGAAUAUCAAAUAAUAAUAACCAGCAUUACAACGAUCACCAGUCAAAUAAAAUACAUACAAAUAUAAAAAUAAAUGUUGUUUUUCGUAUUCUUGCAAUGUUGGUGGUUCAAAGAUUUUGCUAACUUAAAGGUAGAAAUGCAUCUAGUUUCCUAACAGUGAAAUCAAAUGUGUCUGUUGGAAUACAACUGCCAAUUACAUAGCCAUGUGUGGACGGGACAACUGGACGCAAUCUUACGUAUUCCAGCAUGCUUCAACACUGGAAGGAUAUACGGGAGAUGUCAAAAUGGUGCAAUGGAAUCCGUCAGUAGAUAUCCUUUGUUCCUAUAGCUUUGAUAAUUCUAUCAAGAUGCUUUUAAUUAUGAAAGGCUAAUGGUUUGGAUGUUUGAGUAUAUCGGAUUCUUGUGGGCUUAUAUUGAAUCCAUGUAUAUUUAAUUGGUAUAGGUCUGGACAGAGGAUUAGAAAGGUGCUGAAAGCUGCAUUCAAACCAUCAAAUAGAUACACUUAUUUUUUUUAUAAGGAAUGAGAUUAUAAAAGUUUCUACUAGUAACAUUCCCUAUUUUCUUAUUUAAUGAAUUGGACACAGUUUAAUUGUAUGUGCCUUUUCUUUUAAUGACAGUGGAGACAAGGUGGUAUCCUGCAGGUAUUCACAGCUUCCAUGCUUGCUUAUUGAUGCUCCAUAUUAGUAAUUUAUAUUUUUUGAAGUUGGAUGUUUUUCUUAUAUUAUACAAUUGUAAUGAAAUUUGUAAUAUUUUCAUAACUUAAAAGAUAAAAUUUAUAAUUUUUUAAACUUAUAUAAAAUAAAUCUCACUAAUACUACAAGGAUUCAAAUAAAAAUGACUUUUUAUAGUUGUAUACAAGUCAAAUCAAUAACCAAUAUUUCAACUAAUAAAAUAUUUUUAUCAACGAUCAUUAUUAGCUAGUUAAAAUAUCCAUCAAAAUAUCCAAACAUAUUAUUCGGAUGUUUUUGCCCCUUCUAUAUUAUAAAUAUAUAUUAGAUUAAGUUAAUGAACAUUCAUCGAUUAUAAUAUCUUAUCCAUUAUAAAUUAAAAUCAAUAAAUACAUAUACACAUUUAUCGUAUGAAAUAUAUCAUUUAUAUAUAAUAAAUUAUUAAUUGUGUAUAAGUAAAUCUUCUUAAAUUUAUUACAUGUCACUAUAGAAGUUAUAAGGGGUUAUUGCCGGAAAAUACUCAAAGUUUGUAAAUUUUCUGAUUUAUAUCAUGACCUUUUCUUUUUGUAAAAAAAUACAUAAAUUUAAGAUUGAUUCUAAAUCGUUCCACUAUGGAUGAUUUCGCUCAAAUCCAAUAAGAAUAAUCUACUGAUUAGGGGGUUUAAAUAAAUCCGUAGACCAAUUAUAGGGUAUAAUAAAGCAAUUUACGACUUGUUAUUUCUCACUGUGACAUCAUAUUGGAUUUAGGUGAAUUUUUUUGAUGUGGGGCGAUUUAAAAUAAAUCUUAAAAUCGUGUAUUUUAUGGCAAAAAAUAAAAGACACAAUUAAACCAGAAAAUUAUCAAACUUUUGGUAUUUUGUGACAAUAACCCCAAGUUAUAGCAUUCAAUUUAACUAUUAAAAUUAAUUUGUGUUGGGAACUUAGUGAAAUAUCCUAAUCCUUGUUUUGAUGAUACCAAAAUCAAUAGGUUUCAUUUGUAAUAGACUAGAACUGCUUGAACUCAAGUGUUGUUCUUUUUCUAGUUUAGUUGUUGUUCUGAAGACUGAAGACUAAAGAACGAAGGAUUGAAGACUGAAGACUGAAGUUGCCGACUGAAGCAUCAGUCGAAGAAUCAGUUUUGACUGAUCACUUAAAUGCGAGCCACGUGGAAUCAGCGGACUGAUACUAAAGUAAAGUAUCAGUUAAAGAUUAUUCCUCGGACUGAACCUCCAACGUUCAAAGGAAGCCACGCACUCCAGGAGUACAGCCGCAUUAAAUGCAUAGAUCUCAGGAUCGUCCUUUCUCUGCAGAGGCCAUUCCUUUUUGGUGAUUACCUUUUCAGAGAUGUUGCAUCUCCUGCUCCUCAACGUAGCGUUCUCACCAAAAAGGAACUCGAAGAUUGAAGCCUCAGCCCAAGUUCAAAUUACUCUCUAACGGAAGAAAUCUUGAAGACCUUCUCCGCCAAUGGAUCUAUUCAAGACGUCUCCUAUAAAUAGCGCUCGAGGAUCACUUCAAUCUUCACCGAUUCAACAACAUAAGCUGAAACGCUGCCAAAAUCAUUACUCAGCUCAGAGCCAAACCUCUCCAAAGUUUGAAUCGAAGAAGAGAAUCCCAAAGCCAAAAAUCAGUCACUGCUGAUUACAUAAAUUCUCUUAGACCUUAGGCAAACCUUGUUUAUCCAAAGCCUAGGUUAAACUAACUGCAAAGAACUUGUUCUUUGAAAUUUAGUUGGCAAGUUUUCAAACCUCCCUUCAACCUACUGAAUUGAGUGUUUGUGUCGAAAAGGAGUUCAGAAAGGUGCUCUGUCUCUAUGAGGUCCUAAUGCCCAGUGUGUGUGCUAGGAGUGAGAAAUCCAACCAGGUGUGUUGGUACUAAAGAUUGUUGUUUCGGUUGUGUGCACCUGCAAGCACACGUUCAGGUUUUCUGUGCACCCGUAAGCACGAGCAUCGGUUUGCUGCGCACCCGUAAGCACGAGCAUCGGUUUGCAAUGCACCCGUAAGCACUUGCCCAGUGAAGUUGUUGGCCUGAUCAACCGACCGUGGAUGUAGGAAGUGUUUUCCGAACCACGUAAAAAUCUCUGUCAUUUACAGCUUUCAGUAUUUACUUUCUUACUUGUGUUCUUCCCUUUUUAAACUGAAAACUGAUUAAUAGCAAAGAGAAACCUAAAGACUGACAACGUGCUUAACUCACAUGCUAUUACGAAACAAAAGUAUUAUGCUGCGUGUGUUAUCAGUCUAACUGAUCUAUCUUCUGAUAGUCAGUAAGAUUCAUAACAUCUCUGUUUAUCAAACUCGACUGAAGCCUUAUGUGUAUCAGUUAAGGUCUUUGACUUAACUGAUAACUCUUUACUGAAGAAUAUUCAGUAUCAGUCGUCAAUCCUGUUUUGGUCAAAACUCUUUUCAGUAAACAGGUUGUGUGAGUUUGUGUUUGAAGUUUCGUUUUGAUUAUUAUUAAAGUCAAAAAUAGCCUAUAGGUGUAUUCCCACCCUCCCCCCAUACACCUAUUCGAGAUCCUCCGGACCUAACAAUUUGUUAUCAUGAGCUAUGUUAUUGUAACAUUAAUUAUAAAUUGUUUAUUUAAAAUUAUCAAUACAUAAAUAUGAUAUGGCAUUUGUACAUCUUUACUAUAUUUAAAAGGCAACUUUCAAUUUGAAAUUAAUUUCAAAAUUGAAUGACAAUUUUGUAGUUAUACUAAAUUGAAUGUUUAUGUGUAAACUAUUUUUCCUUUUAUUUUCCUUUUUCUUAACUUCUUAUUUGUUGUUUUAAUUAUUUUCAAAAUUGUGAAAUUCAAUUAAUUAUAAAAUAUUUAAUAUGCAUAUCAAAUUAAAGAUCAUGAUAAGAGAUUUAAUUUGAUAUAUUUUAUGUAAAUAUUUGAUUUAAAAUGUAAAAAGUAAAUUUGUUAGAAUAUUAAAAUUUAAUAAAUUUAUCUCUCCUCUCUCAUCUUUUUUGCAUAAAUCUAUUUUAAUUCUUUUUUAUAAGUAUUUUUUUUAAAACUUUUUUUUUUUUGCUUUUCAUAAUACCAAAUUCUAUAAUUGUGAAUUUUUUUAUUUAUUUUUAAAUAUUCAAUCAAAAUAGGUUGAUGAGCAAAUAAUCUAAGUUUCAAAUAUAAUCUCAUUUUAAUUAGUUUAUAUAUAUAUAUAUAUAUAUAUAUAUAUAUAUAUAUAUAUAGUAGGUAGGGNAUAUAUAUAUAUAUAUAUAUAUAUAUAUAAAUUUUCUUCAUAAUUUUAAAUAAUCAUAACUUUUUAAUUUUAAGCCUUAUAUAUAAUAUAUCAAAUUAAAGUUUUUCGUCCUCAAUGGGACACGAAGCGGUGCGACCUCCUGUGUGUGAAGAGUGAGGUCCUGGGUUCAAACCCCACUGCUCUCCCUCCCCAACUCCCCCAAAGUACAAAAAAAAAAAUCAAAUUAAAGUUCUUGUCGCAUUUUUAAUUUAAGAUACAUAUUGAAUAUAUUUUCAUUAACAGAUUACAUGAGCUUACAAAAGAAUAAAAUUAUAAAAAAGAAAAAGAAAAUAUAACAUAUAAAUAAACUUCCGAUUGUAAUAUAAAAUAGAUAAUGGGAAAAAGAAAUAACAAAAUAAAGAAUUCGACGACCAUUGAGCAAUUUAAAAAAGUAGAGACAGAGACAUGAUUGGCUUAAAAUCAUGAAGAAUUUGUUCCUCUUAAAAGUUGGGUAGCAUAUCAGUUGUAUCACCAUAACACCAUUGUCCUUGUUUCCUCACUCAACCGAAUAUUUAAAGAGAGACGGAUGGAUCUUAAAUUACUUUAUGAGUUUGUAUAUUUUGGAAAAGUACCCACAAAAUUAUAUGCUUCAAAACAGGAAAAAGGGGAAACGAAAAGAAUAAGUAGAAAGAAGAACUAGAGCUAUAAAUAAAUCAAGUGCUCGCUAAUUAUUCAGAGUUCGACUCGAAAAAAACUCGUUCAAAUUCGUUUAAAGAAGUAAAAUAAAUAAACGAAUCAAACUUGAAUUUAAUAGUAUUCGACUCGUUAGCUCAUGAACAAAUUCGUUAAGUGAAUUAGCUUGAAAAAUAUAAAUUAUUAGUAGAUACAACUUAUAUUUAUCCAUUAAAAUUAAUAAUCUUUGUACGAAAUCUCUAAUUAUCACUGUUUGUUAUAAGAAAAUAAUUAAUAUAUUUAUUAUUUUGAAUGAAAUAAUUUAUUUUCAAAAUAAAAUAAUCCAUAUUUUAAAUAUAAAUAUAAAUUUAGAAAGUACGUAUAUACUUUUGAGCCUCAAAGUAUUCGGUAAACAAAGUUCGGGAUUUAAUUCGAUACUAAACAAACCAAACUUGAGCACACUACUAUUCGGUUCAAAUUGGUUCGAUUACACCCCUAAAAAAAACAAUAGAGAAUAGAUACAAGAAAAUAUCAAAAUGUUUGAAAUUGUUUCUAAUACUAUCACGCUAUUUAGAUUUUAUCAAAUUACUACAAAAGAUUUAAACAUUUUCUUCAAUGAUAUUGUAUGCAUAUAUAAUUCUAGGGGGGAAAAAGAUGCACUCAUUUGUCUUUGUUCCUUUUCUUUUUUUGGUAACUCUACAUCAUCCUCCAGCACUCCUGAUCAACCUUCAUGCUCCUAAAAUAUUGUUAGAUGGAGUAUUAAUUUUGGUUUUCUUAUAGAUAAUCUAGAUAGUUCGUUGUUACAAAGAUUAGUACUUCCUCCGUCCUUAUAAAAAGUAAUCAUUUGUAAAUAACACGAGUUUUAAUAAAGUAGUUGAAUGUGUUGUGAGUGGAGCAAAAGUCCAAUUUUAUUGUGAGGGAAAAACUUACUAAAAAUAAAUUGAAUAUAUUUUAUGAAGACGGACGAAAAUGACAAAUUAGAUAUAUUUAUGUUGUUUGGAAUACAAAGAUGCUCCCUCCGUCCAUGAUUUAAUGCUCUAUUUAGGUGUGGGCAAGGAGACUAAGAAAACUGAAAAAAAGUGAUGUGGAUAAAAUAUAAGGAUAAUUGACUAAAGUGAUAAAGGUAGUUGAUUAAAGUGAUAAAGGUGUUGUGAGUGGAUCCACUAGUGAUAAAGUCUAGUAAAUAUAAAAUAUAAAAAUGAUAAAAGUGUUUUAAGGUGGGUCCAUUAGUGGCAAAAAGUAGUAAAUAUAAGAAAAGAAGAAGAGUAAAAUAGUACAAAAAGUAGGAAGUAGAGCAUAAAAUUAUGGACGAAGGGAGUAUAUGUUUAUCCUAAAAGAAUAGAACACAAAGAAACGAAAGUUGAGUAUGCAAAAUAUGAAGUGAAGUAAGAUGUUGAAAUUUCCGAAAAUGAGAAAUCUCAGAAACGGAAAAGACGAGACGAUAAAGGAGAAUCUGUGACCUUUUUCAUGCGCGUGGUCCGCAGUCGCUCCACCACCACCACCUAUAAAUAGGCAGCUCCUCCGCAGAGAAUGAAAAUAUAGCAAUCAAAACUUAAUCCAUACACAUAUAUACCUCCGAGUUUCGUCUUCAACCUCAGCAUCAUCAUGUCUGACAAGUGCGGAAGCUGCGACUGCGCUGACAAAUCCCAGUGCGGGUAAUAAUCCUUUUUCUUUUUCUUCAACAUCAAUACUUGAUGUUUUAUGUAUGCCGCUCCAGUCUAAAGAUUAGAGCAUGCAGCUUCACAAUAAGAAUAUAACAUGAAAAUGUUUACCGAUUGCUCAUGUUAUGUCUAUUGCAGGAAGAAUGGGUACACAGCCGACAUCAUUGAGACCGAGAAGAGGUAUAUAUAGUGAUCAAGACAAGCAAUUACAUAAACAAAACCUAUCAUAGGUGAUAUUGAGUUGGAAUAUUUUGUUGUUUUGCAGCUACACUAUGGUGAUGGAUGCUCCGGCUGCUGCGGAGAACGACGGCAAGUGCAAGUGCGGCAGCAGCUGCAGCUGCACCGACUGCACCUGCAGCCACUGAGGCCAUCACCAAAUGGGGACACUAGAUUUCUUAUCAUGACAUAAUGUAAUCCUCUAUAGCACUGAAUAAGUUUGUCUGUCUGCUAGUGUCCCUUUGUAUCCUUACACCUUCGCCUUAUUCAAUGAAUUAACAAUUUAACACUACUCUCUCUCACAUCCAAUGCAUAGACUACUACUGUAUAUCAACUUUAUCUCGACUUUGGAUAUCCAAAUAUCAUCAUCUUAUUUUUCUAAGACGGAAACAACUCUGAAAUAUCAUAACUACAUAAACAUUGAAUGAGAACCGAAAAUUAC
This 16892-nucleotide long non-coding RNA is filed under the name Salvia miltiorrhiza (redroot sage). RNAcentral's name for it is "long non-coding RNA (SMIL_LNC000134)". Lineage: Eukaryota; Viridiplantae; Streptophyta; Magnoliopsida; Lamiales; Lamiaceae. The record is from RNAcentral.